UAUAAUACGAAAUAACGAGGCUGUGUCAUAGCUAAUGCGUUAUUGCGAGCGAGUGUGUCAUCUAGUCACGCGUCAGAGCGCAUUGUAGUUAUUUUCACCGCCUAAUUCUUAUGGACAGGGAAGCUCGUUUGAUAGUCUUAGUAGGAAUAAAAUAAGAAAAUAUAAUUAAUGUACCGAGAAUAGAUACUAAGAAAUAAUAAUAACAAAUUAAUAAUAACAACAAUAAUAAUAAUAUUAAUCAUAAAAAUACAUGUUUGAAACUGGAAAAGGGAUACUGCUAAGUGACCCUUUAGGUGGGUUACAAUCAUCAUAUACGUGACUAUCCUGAACUGAUACUUUGCUUUGGGCCUCUUAUUCGCUCUUGGACCCUUAGGUUUGAGAGUAAACACACACGUUUUAAACAGUGUGCUCGCAAAUUACACAACUUCAAGAAUUUGUGAUCUGUUGAUUAUUUAGGCCUCCAACUACGUAGCUCUGUGGCUGUACACAAUGUCACCGUUAAAGGCACAAGCUACAAAAAAAGCCACGUGUGUUGUCUUUGAGAAGAAUGAUGAGGGACUAGUCUUUGGCAAGAUAGAACUGAUUCUUGUUUGCAACAGUUGUGUUUACUUUGUCACAGAGAAAUGCCAGUCUGAUUUCCUUUUUGAUCAGGGGAUUUACUGCCUAAAGAUGGGCUCAGAGAACCCCAUUUCAAAUUAUUUCUGCCUCGAACAUGCAAGCCUGCUUGACUAUUACCCUUUGCCUGUGUACAACAUGUUUGGUCUGUCUCUAAUAGCCACUCCUUUCCUUCAGAAUGUCUGAUAUAAGUGAGAGCAUCAAGGACGCAGUCAUUUCUGUCCUGCCAAGUGUGCCAGAAGAAACGAUCUUACACCAGGGAGUAGAAAGCAAAGAUGACUUGCAGUACAUAAGAGAACAGGAAAUUGCAGAGGUUAAUCGACCAAUCCAGUGCAGAAAACAUUUAAAUGCAUGGAAAUGAGCAGAAUGUCUGAUAUAAGUGAGAGCAUCAAGGACGCAGUCAUUUCUGUCCUGCCAAGUGUGCCAGAAGAAACGAUCUUACACCAGGGAGUAGAAAGCAAAGAUGACUUGCAGUACAUAAGAGAACAGGAAAUUGCAGAGGUAAUCGACCAAUCCAGUGCAGAAAACAUUUAAAUGCAUGGAAAUGAGCAGAAUGUCUGAUAUAAGUGAGAGCAUCAAGGACGCAGUCAUUUCUGUCCUGCCAAGUGUGCCAGAAGAAACGAUCUUACACCAGGGAGUAGAAAGCAAAGAUGACUUGCAGUACAUAAGAGAACAGGAAAUUGCAGAGGUUAAUCGACCAAUCCAGUGCAGAAAACAUUUAAAUGCAUGGAAAUGAGCAGAAUGUCUGAUAUAAGUGAGAGCAUCAAGGACGCAGUCAUUUCUGUCCUGCCAAGUGUGCCAGAAGAAACGAUCUUACACCAGGGAGUGGAAAGCAAAGAUGACUUGCAGUACAUAAGAGAACAGGAAA
Long non-coding RNA from Anguilla rostrata (American eel), 1483 nucleotides. RefSeq lists it as uncharacterized. The transcript is spliced from 4 exons. NCBI's taxonomy places the organism in Eukaryota, Metazoa, Chordata, Actinopteri, Anguilliformes, Anguillidae. The record is from RefSeq and is a predicted model, not a curated record.